CAGCCCCGAAUUUUAAAAAAAGAACAGAAAGCUUUUAUGCUCUCUUCCCCUCCCCCUUUUUCUUUCUGUCAAUUGGGUUCCUCAGAGACCCGCCCUACCGCCACCGACGACGGCGAUGACCGUCGUGUACAGCGAAGGAGCGCAACCCAAGUGUGUCAGAGGCAUGCGAGGCCGGUGGUUAGUGCCCCGAGCGGUGCUGGUAGCGCGCGUGAUGGCCAAGGGCAGAGGGAGGAGUGACGGCUGAGGCUGAAGGAGGCUAGGGUUGCUGAAAAAUCCUAAACAAAUGGGCUAUUAUUUGGGCUAGGGUUUGAUGUAAAUUGGGUUUGGGUAGUUUUGGGCUAAAAUUUGGGUAUUGGGUUUUAAUAAUUUUGGGCCAUGUAUUGGACUAUUUUUUUUGUUUAUUUGGUUUGGGUUCUUUUAGGCCAAAAUUGGCUAUUACAAUUAGAAUAGCUUACCCCUUCCCCAGCAUGUUGUUCAAUCAUCAGACGACAUAUCAAGACAGUGUACGACCUCCCGAUAGCCAGAUAAUGACUCCAUCUACGAAAGCAAAUUACAUGUUAGAAUAGUAUCGUUAGAAUAGUAUCAUUAGAAAUAAAAAAAGUCAAUUAAUAACAA
Molecule: long non-coding RNA, 615 nt
Organism: Gossypium arboreum
Lineage: Eukaryota; Viridiplantae; Streptophyta; Magnoliopsida; Malvales; Malvaceae
Exons: 2
Source: RefSeq, a predicted model, not a curated record